This 70-nucleotide transfer RNA is filed under the name Synallactes sp. Y30071. Its description in RNAcentral is "tRNA-Lys". Lineage: Eukaryota; Metazoa; Echinodermata; Holothuroidea; Aspidochirotida; Synallactidae. The record is from RNAcentral.
CCCUAUGGUAGCUUAAAAAAAGCCUCAGCCUCUUGAUCUGAAAAUGGAAAUCUGUUAUAUCCCCUAGGGA